This 519-nucleotide ribosomal RNA is filed under the name uncultured beta proteobacterium. Its description in RNAcentral is "bacterial SSU rRNA". It matches the Rfam family "Bacterial small subunit ribosomal RNA", at positions 9 to 524 of the family's 1533-position model. The record is from RNAcentral. Lineage: Bacteria; Pseudomonadati; Pseudomonadota; Betaproteobacteria.
GAGUUUGAUCUUGGCUCAGAUUGAACGCUGGCGGCAUGCUUUACACAUGCAAGUCGAACGGCAGCGCGGGCUUCGGCCUGGCGGCGAGUGGCGAACGGGUGAGUAAUAUAUCGGAACGUACCCAAGAGUGGGGGAUAACGUAGCGAAAGUUACGCUAAUACCGCAUACGAUCCAAGGAUGAAAGCAGGGGACCUUCGGGGCCUUGUGCUCCUGGAGCGGCCGAUAUCUGAUUAGCUAGUUGGUGAGGUAAAGGCUCACCAAGGCAACGAUCAGUAGCUGGUCUGAGAGGACGACCAGCCACACUGGAACUGAGACACGGUCCAGGCUCCUACGGGAGGCAGCAGUGGGGAAUUUUGGACAAUGGGGGCAACCCUGAUCCAGCCAUUCCGCGUGCAGGAUGAAGGCCCUCGGGUUGUAAACUGCUUUUGUACGGAACGAAAAGGCCUUUCUAAUACAGAGGGCUCAUGACGGUACCGUAAGAAUAAGCACGGCUAACUACGUGCCAGCCGCCGCCGUAAC